UACGGAGGGUGCGAGCGUUAUCCGGAAUUACUGGGUUUAAAGGGUGCGUAGGCGGCCGAGUAAGUCAGGAGUGAAAGUUUGCGGCUCAACCGUAAAAUUGCUUUUGAUACUGCUUAGCUAGAAUCAGGAUGAGGUCAGCGGAAUGUGGCAUGUAGCGGUGAAAUGCAUAGAUAUUAGGAGGAACACCAGUGGCGAAGGCGAGUCUCUGGCACGCAUCUGACGCUGAUACACGAAAGCCAGGGGAGCGAACGGG
This 253-nucleotide ribosomal RNA is filed under the name uncultured prokaryote. RNAcentral's name for it is "partial 16S ribosomal RNA". It matches the Rfam family "Bacterial small subunit ribosomal RNA", at positions 524 to 776 of the family's 1533-position model. The record is from RNAcentral.